UUCUCAUAUUUUUUACCUAUAAAUACAAUGAGAUGACUAAAAAAAUUAAACUCUUCAUUUUACAUUGCAUCCUUCUUUUCCCUUGAAGGUGACUCUCUCAUCACCAAUUUAAUCAUUGUGGUUCAAUAGUUGCUCAAACUAAUAUGCAUAUUUCAAUGCAUUAAAGGUCGAUGCCACUUUAGACCAGCCGUAGUUGCUCUGACUAAGCCGAUGCAGAAAUGCAUGAUUUUUGUUAUUUGUGCGAUGCAAUGGUUACGGAGUCAGUAGGGGAUACUA
Molecule: long non-coding RNA, 276 nt
Organism: Ipomoea nil (Japanese morning glory)
Lineage: Eukaryota; Viridiplantae; Streptophyta; Magnoliopsida; Solanales; Convolvulaceae
Exons: 3
Source: RefSeq, a predicted model, not a curated record